This 336-nucleotide unclassified non-coding RNA is filed under the name soil metagenome. Its description in RNAcentral is "partial contains 5.8S ribosomal RNA, internal transcribed spacer 2, and large subunit ribosomal RNA". The stretch from base 2 to 119 matches the Rfam family "5.8S ribosomal RNA", at positions 37 to 154 of the family's 154-position model. The record is from RNAcentral.
GUGAAGAACGUAGCGAAAUGCGAUAAGUAAUGCGAAUUGCAGAUUUCAGUGAGUCAUCGAAUCUUUGAACGCACAUUGCGCCCGCCAGUAUUCUGGCGGGCAUGCCUGUUCGAGCGUCAUUUCAACCAUCAAGCCCCCGGGCUUGCGUUGGGGCCCUGCGGCUGCCGCAGGCCCCGAAAAGCAGUGGCGGGCUCGCUGUCACACCGAGCGCAGUAGCGAUUCUCGCUCCGGGCGUCGGCGGCGGGCACCGGCCGUGAAACCCCCCCACAGCCACAAGGUUGACCUCGGAUCAGGUAGGAAUACCCGCUGAACUUAAGCAUAUCAAUAAGCGGAGGA